RNAcentral lists this ribosomal RNA (440 nucleotides) under uncultured bacterium. Its description in RNAcentral is "partial 16S ribosomal RNA". It matches the Rfam family "Bacterial small subunit ribosomal RNA", at positions 338 to 795 of the family's 1533-position model. The record is from RNAcentral.
CCUACGGGGCGCAGCAGUGGGGGAUAUUGCACAAUGGGGGAAACCCUGAUGCAGCGACGCCGCGUGUGGGAAGACGGUCCUCUGGAUUGUAAACCACUGUCCCCAGGGACGAAGAUGACGGUACCUGGGGCGGCAGCUCCGGCUAACUACGUGCCAGCAGCCGCGGUAAUACGUAGGGAGCGAGCGUUGUCCGGAAUUACUGGGUGUAAAGGGAGCGUAGGCGGGACUGCAAGUUGGGUGUCAAAUCUACCGGCUCAACCGGUAGCCGCACUCAAAACUGCAGUUCUUGAGUGAAGUAGAGGCAGGCGGAAUUCCUAGUGUAGCGGUGAAAUGCGUAGAUAUUAGGAGGAACACCAGUGGCGAAGGCGGCCUGCUGGGCUUUGACUGACGCUGAGGCUCGAAAGUGUGGGGAGCAAACAGGAUUAGAUACCCGAGUAGUC